RNAcentral lists this ribosomal RNA (252 nucleotides) under Muribaculum intestinale. RNAcentral describes it as "partial 16S ribosomal RNA". It matches the Rfam family "Bacterial small subunit ribosomal RNA", at positions 524 to 776 of the family's 1533-position model. Lineage: Bacteria; Pseudomonadati; Bacteroidota; Bacteroidia; Bacteroidales; Muribaculaceae. RNAcentral also lists the same sequence under 2 other names. The record is from RNAcentral.
UACGGAGGAUGCGAGCGUUAUCCGGAUUUAUUGGGUUUAAAGGGUGCGUAGGCGGACUGUCAAGUCAGCGGUAAAAUACGGGGGCUCAACCUCCGCCCGCCGUUGAAACUGACGGUCUUGAGUGGGCGAGAAGUAUGCGGAAUGCGUGGUGUAGCGGUGAAAUGCAUAGAUAUCACGCAGAACUCCGAUUGCGAAGGCAGCAUACCGGCGCCCAACUGACGCUGAAGCACGAAAGCGUGGGUAUCGAACAGG